RNAcentral lists this ribosomal RNA (253 nucleotides) under uncultured bacterium. Its description in RNAcentral is "partial 16S ribosomal RNA". It matches the Rfam family "Bacterial small subunit ribosomal RNA", at positions 524 to 776 of the family's 1533-position model. The record is from RNAcentral.
UACGUAGGGCGCAAGCGUUAUCCGGAAUUAUUGGGCGUAAAGAGCUCGUAGGCGGUUUGUCGCGUCUGCCGUGAAAGUCCGGGGCUCAACUCCGGAUCUGCGGUGGGUACGGGCAGACUAGAGUGAUGUAGGGGAGACUGGAAUUCCUGGUGUAGCGGUGAAAUGCGUAGAUAUCAGGAGGAACACCGGUGGUGUAAACGGCUCUCUGGACCGUAACUGACGCUGAGGCACGAAAGCGUGGGUAGCAAACAGG